RNAcentral lists this ribosomal RNA (253 nucleotides) under uncultured bacterium. RNAcentral's name for it is "partial 16S ribosomal RNA". It matches the Rfam family "Bacterial small subunit ribosomal RNA", at positions 524 to 776 of the family's 1533-position model. The record is from RNAcentral.
UACGGGGGGGGCAAGCGUUGUUCGGAAUUACUGGGCGUAAAGGGCUCGUAGGCGGCCAACUAAGUCAGACGUGAAAUCCCUCGGCUUAACCGGGGAACUGCGUCUGAUACUGGAUGGCUUGAGAUUGGGAGAGGGAUGCGGAAUUCCAGGUGUAGCGGUGAAAUGCGUAGAUAUCGGAAGGAACAUCAGUGGCGAAAGCGGCUUCCUGGACCAGAACUGACGAUCAGGCACGAAAGCGUGGGGAGCAAACAGG